GUGAACUCGAAGAGUAGGGCGGGACACGUGGUAUCCUGUCUGAAUAUGGGGGGACCAUCCUCCAAGGCUAAAUACUCCUGACUGACCGAUAGUGAACCAGUACCGUGAGGGAAAGGCGAAAAGAACCCCGGCGAGGGGAGUGAAAAAGAACCUGAAACCGUGUACGUACAAGCAGUGGGAGCACCUUCGGGUGUGACUGCGUACCUUUUGUAUAAUGGGUCAGCGACUUAUAUUCUGUAGCAAGGUUAACCGUAUAGGGGAGCCGCAGGGAAACCGAGUCUUAACUGGGCGUUAAGUUGCAGGGUAUAGACCCGAAACCCGGUGAUCUAGCCAUGGGCAGGUUGAAGGUUGGGUAACACUAACUGGAGGACCGAACCGACUAAUGUUGAAAAAUUAGCGGAUGACUUGUGGCUGGGGGUGAAAGGCCAAUCAAACCGGGAGAUAGCUGGUUCUCCCCGAAAGCUAUUUAGGUAGCGCCUCGUGAACUCAUCUUCGGGGGUAGAGCACUGUUUCGGCUAGGGGGUCAUCCCGACUUACCAACCCGAUGCAAACUACGAAUACCGAAGAAUGUUAUCACGGGAGACACACGGCGGGUGCUAACGUCCGUCGUGAAGAGGGAAACAACCCAGACCGCCAGCUAAGGUCCCAAAGUCAUGGUUAAGUGGGAAACGAUGUGGGAAGGCACAGACAGCCAGGAUGUUGGCUUAGAAGCAGCCAUCAUUUAAAGAAAGCGUAAUAGCUCACUGGUCGAGUCGGCCUGCGCGGAAGAUGUAACGGGGCUAAACCAUGCACCGAAGCUGCGGCAGCGACACUAUGUGUUGUUGGGUAGGGGAGCGUUCUGUAAGCCUGCGAAGGUGUGCUGUGAGGCAUGCUGGAGGUAUCAGAAGUGCGAAUGCUGACAUAAGUAACGAUAAAGCGGGUGAAAAGCCCGCUCGCCGGAAGACCAAGGGUUCCUGUCCAACGUUAAUCGGGGCAGGGUGAGUCGACCCCUAAGGCGAGGCCGAAAGGCGUAGUCGAUGGGAAACAGGUUAAUAUUCCUGUACUUGGUGUUACUGCGAAGGGGGGACGGAGAAGGCUAUGUUAGCCGGGCGACGGUUGUCCCGGUUUAAGCAUGUAGGCUGGUUAUCCAGGCAAAUCCGGAUAAUCAAGGCUGAGGUGUGAUGACGAGGCACUACGGUGCUGAAGUAACAAAUGCCCUGCUUCCAGGAAAAGCCUCUAAGCAUCAGGUAACAUCAAAUCGUACCCCAAACCGACACAGGUGGUCAGGUAGAGAAUACCAAGGCGCUUGAGAGAACUCGGGUGAAGGAACUAGGCAAAAUGGUGCCGUAACUUCGGGAGAAGGCACGCUGGUGUGUAGGUGAAGUCCCUGCGGAUGGAGCUGAGACCAGUCGAAGAUACCAGCUGGCUGCAACUGUUUAUUAAAAACACAGCACUGUGCAAACACGAAAGUGGACGUAUACGGUGUGACGCCUGCCCGGUGCCGGAAGGUUAAUUGAUGGGGUUAUCCGUAAGGAGAAGCUCUUGAUCGAAGCCCCGGUAAACGGCGGCCGUAACUAUAACGGUCCUAAGGUAGCGAAAUUCCUUGUCGGGUAAGUUCCGACCUGCACGAAUGGCGUAAUGAUGGCCAGGCUGUCUCCACCCGAGACUCAGUGAAAUUGAACUCGCUGUGAAGAUGCAGUGUACCCGCGGCAAGACGGAAAGACCCCGUGAACCUUUACUAUAGCUUGACACUGAACAUUGAGCCUUGAUGUGUAGGAUAGGUGGGAGGCUUUGAAGCGUGGACGCCAGUCUGCGUGGAGCCAACCUUGAAAUACCACCCUUUAAUGUUUGAUGUUCUAACGUUGGCCCCUGACCGGGGUUGCGGACAGUGUCUGGUGGGUAGUUUGACUGGGGCGGUCUCCUCCCAAAGCGUAACGGAGGAGCACGAAGGUUAGCUAAUCCUGGUCGGACAUCAGGAGGUUAGUGCAAUGGCAUAAGCUAGCUUGACUGCGAGCGUGACGGCGCGAGCAGGUGCGAAAGCAGGUCAUAGUGAUCCGGUGGUUCUGAAUGGAAGGGCCAUCGCUCAACGGAUAAAAGGUACUCCGGGGAUAACAGGCUGAUACCGCCCAAGAGUUCAUAUCGACGGCGGUGUUUGGCACCUCGAUGUCGGCUCAUCACAUCCUGGGGCUGAAGUAGGUCCCAAGGGUAUGGCUGUUCGCCAUUUAAAGUGGUACGCGAGCUGGNAGGCGCUUGAGAGAACUCGGGUGAAGGAACUAGGCAAAAUGGUGCCGUAACUUCGGGAGAAGGCACGCUGGUGUGUAGGUGAAGUCCCUGCGGAUGGAGCUGAGACCAGUCGAAGAUACCAGCUGGCUGCAACUGUUUAUUAAAAACACAGCACUGUGCAAACACGAAAGUGGACGUAUACGGUGUGACGCCUGCCCGGUGCCGGAAGGUUAAUUGAUGGGGUUAUCCGUAAGGAGAAGCUCUUGAUCGAAGCCCCGGUAAACGGCGGCCGUAACUAUAACGGUCCUAAGGUAGCGAAAUUCCUUGUCGGGUAAGUUCCGACCUGCACGAAUGGCGUAAUGAUGGCCAGGCUGUCUCCACCCGAGACUCAGUGAAAUUGAACUCGCUGUGAAGAUGCAGUGUACCCGCGGCAAGACGGAAAGACCCCGUGAACCUUUACUAUAGCUUGACACUGAACAUUGAGCCUUGAUGUGUAGGAUAGGUGGGAGGCUUUGAAGCGUGGACGCCAGUCUGCGUGGAGCCAACCUUGAAAUACCACCCUUUAAUGUUUGAUGUUCUAACGUUGGCCCCUGACCGGGGUUGCGGACAGUGUCUGGUGGGUAGUUUGACUGGGGCGGUCUCCUCCCAAAGCGUAACGGAGGAGCACGAAGGUUAGCUAAUCCUGGUCGGACAUCAGGAGGUUAGUGCAAUGGCAUAAGCUAGCUUGACUGCGAGCGUGACGGCGCGAGCAGGUGCGAAAGCAGGUCAUAGUGAUCCGGUGGUUCUGAAUGGAAGGGCCAUCGCUCAACGGAUAAAAGGUACUCCGGGGAUAACAGGCUGAUACCGCCCAAGAGUUCAUAUCGACGGCGGUGUUUGGCACCUCGAUGUCGGCUCAUCACAUCCUGGGGCUGAAGUAGGUCCCAAGGGUAUGGCUGUUCGCCAUUUAAAGUGGUACGCGAGCUGGGUUUAGAACGUCGUGAGACAGUUCGGUCCCUAUCUGCCGUGGGCGCUGGAGAAUUGAGGGGGGCUGCUCCUAGUACGAGAGGACCGGAGUGGACGCAUCACUGGUGUUCGGGUUGUCAUGCCAAUGGCACUGCCCGGUAGCUAAAUGCGGAAGAGAUAAGUGCUGAAAGCAUCUAAGCACGAAACUUGCCCCGAGAUGAGUUCUCCCUGAGACUNUAAGUCUCCUGAAGGAACGUUAAAGACGAUGACGUUGAUAGGCCGGGUGUGUAAGCGCAGCGAUGCGUUGAGCUAACCGGUACUAAUGAACCGUGAGGCUUAACCUU
This 3488-nucleotide ribosomal RNA is filed under the name Klebsiella pneumoniae. RNAcentral's name for it is "23S ribosomal RNA". It matches the Rfam family "Bacterial large subunit ribosomal RNA", at positions 399 to 2925 of the family's 2925-position model. Lineage: Bacteria; Pseudomonadati; Pseudomonadota; Gammaproteobacteria; Enterobacterales; Enterobacteriaceae. The record is from RNAcentral.